This 308-nucleotide long non-coding RNA is filed under the name Apteryx rowi (Okarito brown kiwi). Its description in RNAcentral is "lncRNA (ENSARWG00000004091.1)". The record is from RNAcentral. Lineage: Eukaryota; Metazoa; Chordata; Aves; Apterygiformes; Apterygidae.
UGUAUAUGCUGUAGUGCCACACGGAAGGAACCACCCUAAUGGUGGUAUAAGGUUCAUCUUGGAGAUCCUCCCGGGGCUUGCUCGAGCUGACAACCACYUGUUCACAGGAAUGAUGAGGCUCUCCAUCUUCAGGGCUGCUGUAGCUGYUAUYRCUCUGAUGCAUCCUGGAGUGCCUUUGGUUACUGCAUCUAGCUGGGUGGAGUACUAGGCCACUGGCCUAMGGYGAGGACCUAGUUUUUGRAUGUGAAAGCUUUCUCUUUUCCUGGAUGCCAGGUCAAAGGCUCUGUCUCCUCCUUCUUUGUUGCCUG